AAGUCGUAACAAGGUUUCCGUAGGUGAACCUGCGGAAGGAUCAUUACUGAGAGCGGGGCUUCGCGCUCCCGGGGGCUCCGGCCCCCAACUCUUCACCCAUUGUCUAUCUACCUUUGUUGCUUUGGCAGGCCCCGGGGUGCUCCCCGCGCCGGCUAUUCGCCGGUGAGUGCCUGUCAGAGGCCCAUUAAAUUCUGUUUAUCAAUGAUGUCCGAGUGAAAACAUAAUAGAAAAAAACUUUCAACAACGGAUCUCUUGGUUCUG
RNAcentral lists this unclassified non-coding RNA (261 nucleotides) under Japewia sp. Its description in RNAcentral is "partial contains small subunit ribosomal RNA, internal transcribed spacer 1, and 5.8S ribosomal RNA". The stretch from base 1 to 46 matches the Rfam family "Eukaryotic small subunit ribosomal RNA", at positions 1786 to 1831 of the family's 1831-position model. Lineage: Eukaryota; Fungi; Ascomycota; Lecanoromycetes; Lecanorales; Ramalinaceae. The record is from RNAcentral.